GCCCGUGUGGUGAAACUGGUAAACACGCUGGAUUCAAAAUCCAGUGCUUUUUUAGCUUGUCGGUUCGAGUCCGACCACGGGUACCA
Molecule: transfer RNA, 86 nt
Filed under: Arcobacter sp.
Lineage: Bacteria; Pseudomonadati; Campylobacterota; Epsilonproteobacteria; Campylobacterales; Arcobacteraceae
Description: tRNA-Leu
Rfam family: tRNA
About the family: Transfer RNA (tRNA) molecules are approximately 80 nucleotides in length. Their secondary structure includes four short double-helical elements and three loops (D, anti-codon, and T loops). Further hydrogen bonds mediate the characteristic L-shaped molecular structure. tRNAs have two regions of fundamental functional importance: the anti-codon, which is responsible for specific mRNA codon recognition, and the 3' end, to which the tRNAs corresponding amino acid is attached (by aminoacyl-tRNA synthetases). tRNAs cope with the degeneracy of the genetic code in two manners: having more than one tRNA (with a specific anti-codon) for a particular amino acid; and 'wobble' base-pairing, i.e. permitting non-standard base-pairing at the 3rd anti-codon position.
Source: RNAcentral